This 1343-nucleotide ribosomal RNA is filed under the name uncultured bacterium. RNAcentral's name for it is "16S ribosomal RNA". It matches the Rfam family "Bacterial small subunit ribosomal RNA", at positions 28 to 1378 of the family's 1533-position model. The record is from RNAcentral.
GACGAACGCUGGCGGCGUGCUUAACACAUGCAAGUCGAACGGAAAGGCCCUGCUUUUGUGGGGUGCUCGAGUGGCGAACGGGUGAGUAACACGUGAGUAACCUGCCCUUGACUUUGGGAUAACUUCAGGAAACUGGGGCUAAUACCGGAUAGGAGCUCCUGCUGCAUGGUGGGGGUUGGAAAGUUUCGGCGGUUGGGGAUGGACUCGCGGCUUAUCAGCUUGUUGGUGGGGUAGUGGCUUACCAAGGCUUUGACGGGUAGCCGGCCUGAGAGGGUGACCGGCCACAUUGGGACUGAGAUACGGCCCAGACUCCUACGGGAGGCAGCAGUGGGGAAUAUUGCACAAUGGGCGGAAGCCUGAUGCAGCAACGCCGCGUGCGGGAUGACGGCCUUCGGGUUGUAAACCGCUUCCGCCUGUGACGAAGCGUGAGUGACGGUAAUGGGUAAAGAAGCACCGGCUAACUACGUGCCAGCAGCCGCGGUGAUACGUAGGGUGCGAGCGUUGUCCGGAUUUAUUGGGCGUAAAGGGCUCGUAGGUGGUUGAUCGCGUCGGAAGUGUAAUCUUGGGGCUUAACCCUGAGCGUGCUUUCGAUACGGGUUGACUUGAGGAAGGUAGGGGAGAAUGGAAUUCCUGGUGGAGCGGUGGAAUGCGCAGAUAUCAGGAGGAACACCAGUGGCGAAGGCGGUUCUCUGGGCCUUUCCUGACGCUGAGGAGCGAAAGCGUGGGGAGCGAACAGGCUUAGAUACCCUGGUAGCCCACGCUGUAAACGGUGGGUACUAGGUGUGGGGUCCAUUCCACGGGUUCCGUGCCGUAGCUAACGCUUUAAGUACCCCGCCUGGGGAGUACGGCCGCAAGGCUAAAACUCAAAGGAAUUGACGGGGCCCCGCACAAGCGGCGGAGCAUGCGGAUUAAUUCGAUGCAACGCGUAGAACCUUACCUGGGUCUGACAUGGAUCGGGAGUGCUCAGAGAUGGGUGUGCCUCUUUUGGGGUCGGUUCACAGGUGGUGCAUGGCUGUCGUCAGCUCGUGUCGUGAGAUGUUGGGUUAAGUCCCGCAACGAGCGCAACCCUUGUUCACUGUUGCCAGCACGUUAUGGUGGGGACUCAGUGGAGACCGCCGGGGUCAACUCGGAGGAAGGUGGGGAUGACGUCAAGUCAUCAUGCCCCUCAUGUCCAGGGCUUCACGCAUGCUACAAUGGCUGGUACAGAGAGUGGCGAGCCUGUGAGGGUGAGCGAAUCUCGGAAAGCCGGUCUCAGUUCGGAUUGGGGUCUGCAACUCGACCUCAUGAAGUCGGAGUCGCUAGUAAUCGCAGAUCAGCAACGCUGCGGUGAAUACGUUCCCGGG